AUUGAACGCUGGCGGCAGGCCUAACACAUGCAAGUCGAACGGUAACAGGAAGAAGCUUGCUUCUUUGCUGACGAGUGGCGGACGGGUGAGUAAUGUCUGGGAAACUGCCUGAUGGAGGGGGAUAACUACUGGAAACGGUAGCUAAUACCGCAUAACGUCGCACGACCAAAACGGGGGACCUUCGGGCCUCUUGCCAUCGGAUGUGCCCAGAUGGGAUUAGCUAGUAGGUGGGGUAACGGCUCACCUAGUCGACGAUCCCUUGCUGAUCUGAGAGGAUAACCAGCCACACUGGAAGUGAGGCACGGAACAGUCUCGUGCGGGAGGCACCAGGCGGGAAUAUUGAGCAGUGGUAGCAAGCCUGAUACAAACAUGCCGAGUGUAUGACAAAGACCUUCGGGUAGUAAAGUACUAUCAGGGGGGAGGAAGGGAGUAAAGCUAUUACGUAUGCUGAUUGACGUUACCCGCAAAAGAAGCACCGGCUAACUGCGUG
RNAcentral lists this ribosomal RNA (490 nucleotides) under uncultured bacterium. RNAcentral's name for it is "partial 16S ribosomal RNA". It matches the Rfam family "Bacterial small subunit ribosomal RNA", at positions 30 to 507 of the family's 1533-position model. The record is from RNAcentral.